AGGUAGGAAGACCCGCUGAACUUAAGCAUAUCAAUAAGCGGAGGAAAAGAAACCAACAGGGAUUGCCCUAGUAACGGCGAGUGAAGCGGCAACAGCUCAAAUUUGAAAUCUGGCCUCGGCCCGAGUUGUAAUUUGCAGAGGAAGCUUUGGGCGCGGCACCGACCGAGUCCCCUGGAACGGGGCGCCAUAGAGGGUGAGAGCCCCGUAUGGUCGGACGCCUAGCCUGUGUAAAGCUCCUUCGACGAGUCGAGUAGUUUGGGAAUGCUGCUCAAAAUGGGAGGUAAAUUUCUUCUAAAGCUAAAUACCGGCCAGAGACCGAUAGCGCACAAGUAGAGUGAUCGAAAGAUGAAAAGCACUUUGAAAAGAGGGUUAAAUAGCACGUGAAAUUGUUGAAAGGGAAGCGCUUGUGACCAGACUUGCGCCCGGCUGAUCAUCCGGUGUUCUCACCGGUGCACUCUGCCGGGCUCAGGCCAGCAUCGGUUCUCGCGGGGGGACAAAGGCCCUGGGAACGUAGCUCCUCCGGGAGUGUUAUAGCCCAGGGUGCAAUGCCCUCGCGGGGACCGAGGUUCGCGCAUCUGCAAGGAUGCUGGCGUAAUGGUCACCAGCGACCCGUCUUGAAACACGGACCAAGGAGUCAAGGUUUUGCGCGAGUGUUUGGGUGUAAAACCCGCACGCGUAAUGAAAGUGAACGUAGGUGAGAGCUUCGGCGCAUCAUCGACCGAUCCUGAUGUUUUCGGAUGGAUUUGAGUAGGAGCGUUAAGCCUUGGACCCGAAAGAUGGUGAACUAUGCUUGGAUAGGGUGAAGCCAGAGGAAACUCUGGUGGAGGCUCGCAGCGGUUCUGACGUGCAAAUCGAUCGUCAAAUCUGAGCAUGGGGGCGAAAGACUAAUCGAACCAUCUAGUAGCUGGUUACCGCCGAAGU
This 921-nucleotide ribosomal RNA is filed under the name Staphylotrichum coccosporum. Its description in RNAcentral is "LSU rRNA". It matches the Rfam family "Eukaryotic large subunit ribosomal RNA", at positions 13 to 967 of the family's 3401-position model. The record is from RNAcentral. Lineage: Eukaryota; Fungi; Ascomycota; Sordariomycetes; Sordariales; Chaetomiaceae.